GAACCGUGACAGUCCCUGCAAGCGGGCACUAAGCACAGCCUCUGGUCCCUAGGAAAAGCUUAGAAAAUAUAUUCAUGAGAGAGAGAAGGCUGGCACCUAAACUAAUGUAAGAUGACUGAGGGGCUGAAGAAAGAAAGGAAGAGCACUCUCCAGGAAGAGGAAGCGUGUACAAACCCCCAGAGACGAGAGGAGGCAAACGGAGGGACAUUUGGAAAACAGCAAGAACCUCAGCCCACGCCCAUUACACCCUUUAAGGUAAGCGUAAAUUGGACACUAAGCUUCCAGUCAAAGUGGAAAAGAGAGCCAAGGUCAUCUGGACAGCUGGUAUUGACAGAGAAGAGGAAGUGUACCAUGCUGUCAAAGAAACUGUUUAAACACACAAUUCAUUGUUGUCAGCUGUGGUCGCCCUACUAUGCAAUAAAAUACUAGAAUCUAUCUUUUCUAUCUAACUGUAACCGUGUGCAAGUUAACAGGCUGCCCUCUCCUCAUCUGCUCCUCUCUCCCCCUCCCCAGUGUAUGUGUGUGUGUUAUACUUUUUUAAAAUUUUAAAUUAAGUGUAUUGGUACAUUUCAGGUAUACAAUAUGAUGACAUUCAUAUUGGUAAUUUGUACCUUUCCAUAAUCUAUCUUGGUUCUUAUUUUUUCCCCAUCCCCCUGCCUUCCCUUCAGCCCCUCCACCCUUCCCUAUAUACUUUGUUUCCAUUUUUUCAUUUUCUCGUAUUUAUUUCUUACCCUCUUUCAUUUCCCCAAUCCUUUCCAUUCCCCCUCCCCUUUGGACCUUUCCUUCCUAUUUCACAUUAUCUACGAUACCUUUUGAUCCUUACACUUUCAGUUUCUCACACCAGAGAAACUAUUCAGUAUUUACACGUAUGUCCUAUUUAUUUCACUUAAGAGUAUUGCCUCGAUGUGCAUCCAUUCAGCUAUAAAUGUCUCUAAUUUCUCAUUCUUUAUGGCUGAAUAGUACUUCAUUUUUUAAAAAAGACACAUUUUCUUUAUUCAGUCUCCAGUUGAUGCGCAAUUGUACUGUUUCCAAGUUUUAGCCAUUACAAACCGUGCCGCUAUAAACAUGGGUGAGCAUAUAUCACUGAGGUAUGAUGCUUUUAAUUCUUUUGGGAAGAUACCCAGCAGGGGAAUAGCUGGGUCAAAUGGGACCUCUAAUCCUAGUUCUUUGAGGUAUCUCCAUAAUGAUUUCCACAGUGGCUGCACCAGUCUGCACUCCCACCAACAAUGGAGAAGGGUUCCUUUCUCCCCACAACCCCGCCAACAUUUGUAAUUGGUUGAUUUCUUGAUAGCAGCCGUUCUUUCUGGAAUGAGGUGGAAUCUCAGCACUGUUUUCAUUUACAUCUCUCAAAUGACCAGUGAUGUUGAAUGGUUUUUCAUAUGUUUAUUUGGUAUUUCUACUUCUUUGUCUGAGAAAUGUCUGUUCAUUUCUGUCCCCAGUGUAUUUUAAAAUAACUACAAGCUGGAUGUGGUGGUGCACACCUGUGAUCCCAGCACUUGAAGGCUGAGAGGCUGAGGCAGGAGGAUUGCUCUGAUUUCAAGGCCAACCUGGGCUACAUAGUGAGUUCAAGGCCAGCCUGAACUACAUAGCAAGACCCUGCCUCAAAAAGUUAAAAAUAAAUAAAUUAAUGAAAUCAAAUAGCUACAAUGCAGGAUUUAGAAUAUUUUCACCAUAAAAAAUCAUUAUUAUAAGGUGCUAAAUGUGCUAACGACUCUGAUUAGCUCAUUACACAAUAUAUACAUGUUUCAAAGCAUCACAUGGUGCCCUACAAGUUGUACAGUUACUAUGUGUCAAUUAAAAAUUCACAAAUACGGACACACGUGUGUGGCCCUUGGCUAGUGAAGUUCUAGCCUGGCUCUUCAAACUGAACUGCUUCCCACCUUACGGCACCCUGUUCUUCUCUCCCAAUGCCACACCUUGGUUGAAGUUCCUAUAUUUACCUGCCUUGCAAACACCCAUCAUUCAAUACGCUACCCGAAUUUCAAAACCCAGCAUAAGAUGCCUGAUGCCCAUGAAGGUAUCGCCGUCUUCCCUGGUCUUCCCCAGAGUCAUUUCUCUGCCUUGUUUCCCCUUCUUUCACAGCUCUCAUCACAUUGUUACGUGUUGUAAUUCAACACAUCUGUGUCUCCUCUUAGUGAGGUUGGAUAGCCUAGUGGUUAAAGUGACCACACAGGCAUGAAACUCCCUGGCCUCCUCUUUCUCGUCAGUACCUGUGUGACCCCAGGCAGUUACCUAAUCUCUCUAAGCUCCAGUUCUUCCAUCUGGAGGAUGUGAAUUCAAAAAGCAUCGCUCUUGUUCUCUUAGCACAGUCUGGCACCUGGUAAGCAGUGGCCUUUGAAUCACUCACUCCCUGGUCCUCAUGUCACCCCCCAUGGAUGUCUAAGGCAGUGGCCGUGGCCACAGGUAGAUCCUCAAACCCAAAUGAAUUAUAAUAAAAUGUAAAAGUCAUUCAUCAGUGGUACUAGCCCCAUCUCAAGUGCCUCCUGGCACCAGUGGCUCCCCUAUUAGAUUGUACAAGGAAGAUACCCAUCGUCACAAGAAGGUUCUACUGGACACUGCCACCCUAGAGCAGGGAUCCUCAGCUCUUUUAUGGAGAAAGCUAGAUACAUAAUUACUUUAGACUUUGUGGCUAUAAGGUCUUCGUGGGAGUAUUCACCUUCACUACUGUAGCAUGAAAUAAUCAUAGGCAACACAUAAAUCAAUGAGCAUGGUUGUGUUCCAAUAAAACUUUAUUUGAAAACUUUAAAUGUCAUCUAAUUUCACAAAUCACAAAAUAUGCUUCUUUUGAGGUCCCCCACAUACACACUUAAAAAUGUAAAAACUGCCAGAUGUGGUAGGACAUAUCUGUAAUCCCAGCAUUCAAGGUGGCUAAGGCGGGAGGAUCACAAGUUUGAGCUGUCUGGGCAACCUAGUGACUUGGUGAGACCCCAUCAAAAUAAAAAAUAGUUCAAUGUGAAGACCCUGCGUUCAAUCCCCAGCACAGAUGGAGGAGGAAAAGAAGGAGGGAGAAGAAGAGGAGGAAGAGAAAUGCUGACUUUCUCCAGUAGUAAUAAAAGCUAAGAAAGUGGAAUUUCUACCCUAGGGCCACAAGAAAGAAAAAGAAGGGCAGAGGAUUUAGCUCAGUGUCACCACUCCUGCCUCACAAGGUCCUGAAAUCGAUCCCUGGAACUACCAAAAAAAAAGGAAAGUUUGGAGCAACUUGAUUUUAGCCUAGUGAUACCCAGUGAGGAGUUUCAACCUCCAAAAUUCCAGGUGAUACAUCCAUUUUGUU
Molecule: long non-coding RNA, 3271 nt
Organism: Fukomys damarensis (Damara mole-rat)
Lineage: Eukaryota; Metazoa; Chordata; Mammalia; Rodentia; Bathyergidae
Source: Ensembl